RNAcentral lists this ribosomal RNA (374 nucleotides) under uncultured Sebacinaceae. RNAcentral describes it as "eukaryotic LSU rRNA". The stretch from base 1 to 104 matches the Rfam family "5.8S ribosomal RNA", at positions 50 to 154 of the family's 154-position model. The record is from RNAcentral. Lineage: Eukaryota; Fungi; Basidiomycota; Agaricomycetes; Sebacinales; Sebacinaceae.
GAAAUGCGAUACCUAGUGUGAAUUGCAGCCAUCGUGAAUCAUCGAAUCUUUGAACGCACCUUGCACCCUUUGGCAUUCCGAAGGGUAUGCUCGUUUGAGUGUCAUUGUACUCUCACACUCCCACUCUUUUGGAUUGGGAGCGGUGGACUUGGGUGUUGCUGCUUUACGGUGGCUCACCUCAAAUGGAGUAGUGCAACUCUCGGUUGGACAUAGUACGGCGUGAUAAGUAUCUUCGCCGGCGCCUCACUUGAGGGUGGCUGAUCGGGAGCUCUGUGCUUCAAACUGUCUUCGGACAAUCUCUGACAACUUGACCUCAAAUCGAGUAGGACUACCCGCUGAACUUAAGCAUAUCAAUAAGCGGAGGAAAAGAAACU